AAAUAACGAUUCAAGAAGGCAAAAGAACCUCCCAUGCUCAGGGAUGGACGCAAGAUCAGGAACAAGGAUAAAGCCCCGGGUAUCAAUCUGAAAAACUCCAUUCUGAAAAUUGCCUGUGCAGCAUAAAAUGUCUUUAAUAGUUGGGCAUGGUUAAUAAAUAGAUUUGAUGUGUCUUUUAAGAUUGUUAUUAAUAUUUUAAGAUUGACAAUCUUAAAAUAUAUGCUUAAUAUGUACUAUCCAAAUUCAAAUUCACAUCGUAAAUCACUAUAAUUAUAAUUAGAUGGUAUAAAAGUAAUACUACGUUUUAAUAGUCGUCAAAGAUAUAUCGCAUCUACACCAACUAAAAUAGGCAGUGUAGAGCACAAAUUUACUUCUUCUGAAAUAAGGUUGUCUUAUACAAACCUACCCAAGAAAACUGAAUGUGUAGUCAGUAGCCCAAGAGCACAUGAGAGAGAUAUUGCGCCUUCAAAUCUAUCAAACAUUGGAGUUGCAGAGGAGAGCAACGGAUCGCCACGAAAUGUGAGAGCAACGAAUCGCCACUCAAGAUAACCACAUGUGGAAGCAAGUUAUUACCCAAAAAUACCAUGUAGACCCAAGCUUGUGGCUACCAGAAUGCCGACCCAAUGGUAGAGUCUAAGGCAUCUGGAACCCAAGGAGCGGAUCAAGAAUUGAUUUUGGUUAGACCCCUGGCUCGAUCAAACCCCUUUGAAAGACCUUAACCUAGGCCUUUAUCUCCUCGCUCUCCAUCAACAAGCUUCUAUUGAAGACCAUUUUCCCUUACAAAAGACUGCAAGGAGUCCUGGCCUUCGCAGACCACGCUCAGAUAUUGAAUGUCAGGAAUUCCCAAACCUCUCCACACUCGGUUCAAUUUUUCUCUCACCCUGGAGAAGACAUUUUAAUAUGGUACCUUGGUCCCUCGGGGAAAUUUUAAGUUGCUUCCUUUUAUUGCAAACUCAUAGAACCGCCAACAUUCCCCCUAGCCCCUUGCUCCAUUGUGGCCAAAGCAUGGAUCUCCAUUGCUCCUCCCAAGAUCCAAGCCUUCAGCUAGAUUGCUCUCUUUCAGAGAGCAUGAAUUAUUGACCAGCUGCAAAGAGAGGCUUGGCUUUACCUAAUCAACCGAGGAAACUAACCCUCACUUCUUUAUACAUUGUCCCUUAACCCAUUCCUUGUGGGGAGCUUUUCUUCAGCUCUUAAAAUGGUAAUGGAUGGCCCCAAAAAUAUUCCCCAUCGCUUUUCCUCUCUCCACCCCUACACCUGAGCCUCUUCCGGUAUCAUAUUGUGUGGAAGGCUUCAAUGGCAGCCCUCAUUUGGGAAAUUUGGAUAGAACAUAACAAUCGUAUCUUCUGAGGACAAUUUUCUACCAUUGAAGCCUUGUAUGAUAGAAUCAAAGUGGCAAUUAUCUUCUGGGCCACCAAUCACAAGCAGUUCAAAGGCUUCACCCCUUCAACCUUCAACCUUCCACUUACACUGGUACAAUAUCAUCUUCUUACCACAUUAGCGUAACUCAUGAGCCGGCUCCCUCCAAAGCGGGGCCACGUAAAGCUCAACUUUGAUGAUUAUUCCUUGGGCAACCCAAGACCAUCAAGUGUAGGUCUUUUUAGAGACUACAAAGGGUCCACUUUGGCCUCUUUCGCGAAAUCCAUUGGUUACUCAGAUUCCUAAUCAGCAGAAGCUAGCAUUGCUUGAGGGCCUCAAACUAUUUGACAACUCUUGG
Molecule: long non-coding RNA, 1714 nt
Filed under: Amborella trichopoda
Lineage: Eukaryota; Viridiplantae; Streptophyta; Magnoliopsida; Amborellales; Amborellaceae
Description: long non-coding RNA (ATRI_LNC003499)
Source: RNAcentral